CGGGGGGAGCAAGCGUUGUUCGGAUUUACUGGGCGUAAAGGGCGCGUAGGCGGCCUCUGCAAGUCGACUGUGAAAUCUUCGGGCUUAACCCGGAACGGUCAGCCGAUACUGCAGGGCUAGAGUGCAGAAGGGGCAACUGGAAUUCUCGGUGUAGCGGUGAAAUGCGUAGAUAUCGAGAGGAACACCUGCGGCGAAGGCGGGUUGCUGGGCUGACACUGACGCUGACAGCGCGAAAGCUAGGGGAGCGAACGGGAUUAGAUACCCCGGUAGUCCUAGCCUUAAACGAUGAAUGCUUGGUGUCUGGGGUUUUAUAGUCCCCGGGUGCCGUCGCUAACGCUUUAAGCAUUCCGCCUGGGGAGUACGGUCGCAAGACUG
Molecule: ribosomal RNA, 375 nt
Filed under: uncultured organism
Description: bacterial SSU rRNA
Rfam family: Bacterial small subunit ribosomal RNA
Source: RNAcentral